UUAAGCGACUAAGCGUACACGGUGGAUGCCCUGGCAGUCAGAGGCGAUGAAGGACGUGCUAAUCUGCGAUAAGCGUCGGUAAGGUGAUAUGAACCGUUAUAACCGGCGAUUUCCGAAUGGGGAAACCCAGUGUGAUUCGUCACACUAUCAUUAACUGAAUCCAUAGGUUAAUGAGGCGAACCGGGGGAACUGAAACAUCUAAGUACCCCGAGGAAAAGAAAUCAACCGAGAUUCCCCCAGUAGCGGCGAGCGAACGGGGAGCAGCCCAGAGCCUGAAUCAGUGUGUGUGUUAGUGGAAGCGUCUGGAAAGGCGUGCGAUACAGGGUGACAGCCCCGUACACAAAAAUGCACAUAUUGUGAGCUCGAUGAGUAGGGCGGGACACGUGGUAUCCUGUCUGAAUAUGGGGGGACCAUCCUCCAAGGCUAAAUACUCCUGACUGACCGAUAGUGAACCAGUACCGUGAGGGAAAGGCGAAAAGAACCCCGGCGAGGGGAGUGAAAAAGAACCUGAAACCGUGUACGUACAAGCAGUGGGAGCACAGAGCAAUCUGUGUGACUGCGUACCUUUUGUAUAAUGGGUCAGCGACUUAUAUUCUGUAGCAAGGUUAACCGAAUAGGGGAGCCGAAGGGAAACCGAGUCUUAACUGGGCGUUAAGUUGCAGGGUAUAGACCCGAAACCCGGUGAUCUAGCCAUGGGCAGGUUGAAGGUUGGGUAACACUAACUGGAGGACCGAACCGACUAAUGUUGAAAAAUUAGCGGAUGACUUGUGGCUGGGGGUGAAAGGCCAAUCAAACCGGGAGAUAGCUGGUUCUCCCCGAAAGCUAUUUAGGUAGCGCCUCGUGAAUUCAUCUCCGGGGGUAGAGCACUGUUUCGGCAAGGGGGUCAUCCCGACUUACCAACCCGAUGCAAACUGCGAAUACCGGAGAAUGUUAUCACGGGAGACACACGGCGGGUGCUAACGUCCGUCGUGAAGAGGGAAACAACCCAGACCGCCAGCUAAGGUCCCAAAGUCAUGGUUAAGUGGGAAACGAUGUGGGAAGGCCCAGACAGCCAGGAUGUUGGCUUAGAAGCAGCCAUCAUUUAAAGAAAGCGUAAUAGCUCACUGGUCGAGUCGGCCUGCGCGGAAGAUGUAACGGGGCUAAACCAUGCACCGAAGCUGCGGCAGCGACGCUUAUGCGUUGUUGGGUAGGGGAGCGUUCUGUAAGCCUGUGAAGGUGUGCUGUGAGGCAUGCUGGAGGUAUCAGAAGUGCGAAUGCUGACAUAAGUAACGAUAAAGCGGGUGAAAAGCCCGCUCGCCGGAAGACCAAGGGUUCCUGUCCAACGUUAAUCGGGGCAGGGUGAGUCGACCCCUAAGGCGAGGCCGAAAGGCGUAGUCGAUGGGAAACAGGUUAAUAUUCCUGUACUUGGUGUUACUGCGAAGGGGGGACGGAGAAGGCUAUGUUGGCCGGGCGACGGUUGUCCCGGUUUAAGCGUGUAGGCUGGUUUUCCAGGCAAAUCCGGAAAAUCAAGGCUGAGGCGUGAUGACGAGGCACUACGGUGCUGAAGCAACAAAUGCCCUGCUUCCAGGAAAAGCCUCUAAGCAUCAGGUAACAUCAAAUCGUACCCCAAACCGACACAGGUGGUCAGGUAGAGAAUACCAAGGCGCUUGAGAGAACUCGGGUGAAGGAACUAGGCAAAAUGGUGCCGUAACUUCGGGAGAAGGCACGCUGAUAUGUAGGUGAAGUCCCUCGCGGAUGGAGCUGAAAUCAGUCGAAGAUACCAGCUGGCUGCAACUGUUUAUUAAAAACACAGCACUGUGCAAACACGAAAGUGGACGUAUACGGUGUGACGCCUGCCCGGUGCCGGAAGGUUAAUUGAUGGGGUCAGCGCAAGCGAAGCUCUUGAUCGAAGCCCCGGUAAACGGCGGCCGUAACUAUAACGGUCCUAAGGUAGCGAAAUUCCUUGUCGGGUAAGUUCCGACCUGCACGAAUGGCGUAAUGAUGGCCAGGCUGUCUCCACCCGAGACUCAGUGAAAUUGAACUCGCUGUGAAGAUGCAGUGUACCCGCGGCAAGACGGAAAGACCCCGUGAACCUUUACUAUAGCUUGACACUGAACAUUGAGCCUUGAUGUGUAGGAUAGGUGGGAGGCUUUGAAGUGUGGACGCCAGUCUGCAUGGAGCCGACCUUGAAAUACCACCCUUUAAUGUUUGAUGUUCUAACGUUGACCCGUAAUCCGGGUUGCGGACAGUGUCUGGUGGGUAGUUUGACUGGGGCGGUCUCCUCCUAAAGAGUAACGGAGGAGCACGAAGGUUGGCUAAUCCUGGUCGGACAUCAGGAGGUUAGUGCAAUGGCAUAAGCCAGCUUGACUGCGAGCGUGACGGCGCGAGCAGGUGCGAAAGCAGGUCAUAGUGAUCCGGUGGUUCUGAAUGGAAGGGCCAUCGCUCAACGGAUAAAAGGUACUCCGGGGAUAACAGGCUGAUACCGCCCAAGAGUUCAUAUCGACGGCGGUGUUUGGCACCUCGAUGUCGGCUCAUCACAUCCUGGGGCUGAAGUAGGUCCCAAGGGUAUGGCUGUUCGCCAUUUAAAGUGGUACGCGAGCUGGGUUUAGAACGUCGUGAGACAGUUCGGUCCCUAUCUGCCGUGGGCGCUGGAGAACUGAGGGGGGCUGCUCCUAGUACGAGAGGACCGGAGUGGACGCAUCACUGGUGUUCGGGUUGUCAUGCCAAUGGCACUGCCCGGUAGCUAAAUGCGGAAGAGAUAAGUGCUGAAAGCAUCUAAGCACGAAACUUGCCCCGAGAUGAGUUCUCCCUGACUCCUUGAGAGUCCUGAAGGAACGUUGAAGACGACGACGUUGAUAGGCCGGGUGUGUAAGCGCAGCGAUGCGUUGAGCUAACCGGUACUAAUGAACCGUGAGGCUUAACCUU
This 2904-nucleotide ribosomal RNA is filed under the name Escherichia coli. RNAcentral describes it as "bacterial LSU rRNA". It matches the Rfam family "Bacterial large subunit ribosomal RNA". Lineage: Bacteria; Pseudomonadati; Pseudomonadota; Gammaproteobacteria; Enterobacterales; Enterobacteriaceae. The record is from RNAcentral.